AUAACACUCACACUUGGAUCUAUUCGGUUGGUGGUGAACGGGACACGAAGUAUCACGAACGUGGAGAGCUGAACUGACACAGCAGGGAACCAAGUGUACCCAGUAACCACGUAAUUACAGAGAACCUAAGACAGGAACACCAGCCGGCCAUGCCAGACCUGACCACAGCUGAUGAAAACAUACCCGGAGAAAACGCAAAGGCAGAAGACCCCGAGAGCAUGGCAGAAGACACUGAGAGCGUGUUGGAAAACCAUGAAUAGCCUGCUAAGGUGUGAUGAUGAUGGUACUCUGUAAAGAAGGCUGGUUGCUGAAGGUAGAUGAUUAAUUUUAUAGCAUAGUAUAGAAAAUUAUUGGGAAAUAGACGGGGAGGGAUUCUUGAGUUAAAGCAGAGAUGGCAAGUUCCAUCACUUCGACGGCAUUUCAGACUGCACUCGACAUUUGAAAGCAGUCACCCUAGUCUGAGGAGCUGGGCCCUUAUCAGCAGUUGGGCCAGUGAUCAACCGGACGGUUCGGAAGGAGGUGCCACCGGGGGGAGGUCCUUACAGACUUUUACAUAGAGGCCACCCCAACCCUUCCUGUACAUCGAUGAGGGAGCCUGUGGGUGCUCCUGGAAGGAGAGUUUCAGCGACCAGAGGACGAAGGGCUGAAGACAAAGGAAUGUGAUUAAGCUGCAGUCAGCCUGCAGGGAAACAGCCGACAGGCACACGAAAGGAGCCGCAUUUCCAAAGACUUGGAACAGCCUCUCUGCUUAACAUUUGGUAGGUAGCGAUUAGGCAAUGCUAGGAUAGAUAGAGGUACAUAAAAUUGGGGGGUGAAUUUCGAGACAGGGCAUACUUGUGGCCCUAUUUGAGCAGAUCCUCCUAGGUUGGCCUUUCCUGAUACAAAUUUAAUUUUUGUCCAGGAGGGCCAAGAGGAGGGACUGUUAGCGUUUUUUUUUGGGGUAGAUGAUUUGUU
Mobula hypostoma (lesser devil ray) is the source of this 954-nucleotide long non-coding RNA. RefSeq lists it as uncharacterized. The record is from RefSeq and is a predicted model, not a curated record. NCBI's taxonomy places the organism in Eukaryota, Metazoa, Chordata, Chondrichthyes, Myliobatiformes, Myliobatidae. The transcript has 2 exons.